CGAUAUUUAAUACCAUACCAUGUUUUAGAUUUCUGCGACAUCUUGCAUGUUGUUGUAUCCAAUGUGUUGGGAUCUGUGUUCCAGGGCUUAUGUGUGUGGUUUAGUUAAGUUUGCUGGUUAUUAAGCAAAAAGGAAUCGAAUUUCAUUUUUAAAAUUAUGAUUAUGGCGAACGAACUCUUUCAUCAUCGCUCAUAGGAUAUUUGGAAUAUGCCCUAUAACUGCAGACUCCAAUAUUGCAAAAAGCACCUGCAAUACAGUGGAAUAACAUAUUGGUGUGCUGAAGAAAA
This is a long non-coding RNA of Bicyclus anynana (squinting bush brown), 287 nucleotides long. RefSeq lists it as uncharacterized. The record is from RefSeq and is a predicted model, not a curated record. The transcript is spliced from 2 exons. NCBI's taxonomy places the organism in Eukaryota, Metazoa, Arthropoda, Insecta, Lepidoptera, Nymphalidae.